AGAAGAGCAGAAAAUAAAUAACGUCAAAAUAAAAUUAUAUAUUUGAUGAGUUCAAAGAUUAUAACUUAUAAGCAACAGCCUCCGAUCACGAAAUGGUUUUCAAAGUUAGAUAAAAGAACCAGUGCAUUAACACGUAAAAUGCUACCUUAAAGACAUGCAAUGGUUGUAUCCAGAGCUUAGGUCAUAACACUGGAUAGAAGAGAACACGGGAGUAGUAUAGGUGAUAGCAUGAACACAACUUAUACUCAUUGAUCGUAGUAUCGACUUCAUCACUUGUUUUGAGUUAUAACGUCAAACUUGUCGUGGAAGUAUUAUUUAUACACUUAACACGUAUUUAUAAAUCUAAUUUUUCAAGUCUUAGCAAACUGUCAAACUAAAAGUAUAAUAAGUUGAAAGGUUAUAUAAAUUAUAAAUAACAACCAUCGACCACAAAAGGUUAUUCGAAGUUAGAUAAAAGAAUCAUUGCACAGGCCUUAAAUUCAACCUUAAUGAAAUACAUGCAAUGGUUGUAUGCAUAACAUUGUUUAGUCUUGCAAUAAAUAAUUAGAGCAAGACUUACUGCAAGAAGAGCGAUAUUCCUGGUGCAGAUUCUCACAUUUGACUUUCCUGACCUUCGUCCAUUGAUGUUCUAGUUCAUAUAUAUAGGAAGAUGAGAAUUUAGUAUUGUAAGCAUGUAAAAAAGAAGCGCACGUGAAAUAAAAUUUUAACUCACUGGUAUGGUAAGAAAUCUUUAGAAAUUUAAAAACUUAAAAAACAAUACCCACAAAAGUAAAAUUUAUAGUGUGGGGGUGGCAAAUAAUUUUAAUUAUUA
This 811-nucleotide long non-coding RNA is filed under the name Aquilegia coerulea. RNAcentral describes it as "long non-coding RNA (ACOE_LNC000100)". The record is from RNAcentral. Lineage: Eukaryota; Viridiplantae; Streptophyta; Magnoliopsida; Ranunculales; Ranunculaceae.